AGAGUUUGAUCCUGGCUCAGGAUGAACGCUAGCUACAGGCUUAACACAUGCAAGUCGAGGGGCAGCAUGAACUUAGCUUGCUAAGUUUGAUGGCGACCGGCGCACGGGUGAGUAACGCGUAUCCAACCUUCCCCUUAGUAGGGCAUAGCCCGUAGAAAUGCGGAUUAAUACCCUAUGUUAUUCGUCGAGGACAUCUGAAGUGAAUCAAAGGUUUACCGCUAAGGGAUGGGGAUGCGUCUGAUUAGGCAGCAGGCGGGGUAACGGCCCACCUGGCCUACGAUCAGUAGGGGUUCUGAGAGGAAGGUCCCCCACAUUGGAACUGAGACACGGUCCAAACUCCUACCGGAGGCAGCAGUGAGGAAUAUUGGUCAAUGGACGAGAGUCUGAACCAGCCAAGUAGCGUGCAGGACGACGGCCCUAUGGGUUGUAAACUGCUUUUAUGCGGGGAUAAAGUGACGUACGUGUACGUUUUUGUAGGUACCGCAUGAAUAAGGACCGGCUAAUUCCGUGCCAGCAGCCGCGGUAAUACGGAAGGUCCGGGCGUUAUCCGGAUUUAUUGGGUUUAAAGGGAGCGCAGGCGGAAGCUUAAGCGUGACGUGAAAUGUAGCCGCUCAACGGCUGAGUUGCGUCGCGAACUGGGUUUCUUGAGUGAGUACGACGUCAGCGGAAUUCGUGGUGUAGCGGUGAAAUGCUUAGAUAUCACGAAGAACUCCGAUUGCGAAGGCAGCUGGCGAGACUGUAACUGACGCUAAAGCUCGAAAGUGCGGGUAUCGAACAGGAUUAGAUACCCUGGUAGUCCGCACGGUAAACGAUGGAUGCCCGCUGUUUGCGAUAUAAUGUAAGCGGCCAAGCGAAAGCGUUAAGCAUCCCACCUGGGGAGUACGCCGGCAACGGUGAAACUCAAAGGAAUUGACGGGGCCCGCACAAGCGGAGGAACAUGUGGUUUAAUUCGAUGAUACGCGAGGAACCUUACCCGGGCUUGAACUGCCAGCGANCGAUACAGAGAUGUUGAGCUCUCGGGGCGCUGGUGGAGGUGCUGCAUGGUUGUCGUCAGCGUCGUGCC
This 1063-nucleotide ribosomal RNA is filed under the name unidentified rumen bacterium 30-32. RNAcentral describes it as "bacterial SSU rRNA". It matches the Rfam family "Bacterial small subunit ribosomal RNA", at positions 8 to 1066 of the family's 1533-position model. The record is from RNAcentral. Lineage: Bacteria; Pseudomonadati; Bacteroidota; Bacteroidia; Bacteroidales; Bacteroidaceae.